RNAcentral lists this ribosomal RNA (460 nucleotides) under uncultured bacterium. RNAcentral describes it as "partial 16S ribosomal RNA". It matches the Rfam family "Bacterial small subunit ribosomal RNA", at positions 338 to 795 of the family's 1533-position model. The record is from RNAcentral.
CCUACGGGAGGCAGCAGUGAGGAAUAUUGGUCAAUGGACGAGAGUCUGAACCGGCCAAGUAGCGUGAAGGAUGACUGCCCUAUGGGUUGUAAACUUCUUUUAUAUGGGAAUAAAACGUUCCACGUGUGGGAUUUUGUAUGUACCAUAUGAAUAAGGAUCGGCCAACUCCGUGCCAGCAGCCGCGGUAAUACGGAGGAUCCGAGCGUUAUCCGGAUUUAUUGGGUUUAAAGGGAGCGUAGGUGGAUUGGUAAGUCAGUUGUGAAAGUUUGCGGCUCAACCGUAAAAUUGCAGUUGAAACUGGCAGUCUUGAGUACAGUAGAGGUGGGCGGAAUUCGUGGUGUAGCGGUGAAAUGCUUAGAUAUCACGAAGAACUCCGAUUGCGAAGGCAGUUCACUGGACUGCAACUGACACUGAGGCUCGAAAGUGUGGGUAUCAAACAGGAUUAGAUACCCGUGUAGUC